AGGACUAUGAUCUGCAUGAGUGCUGGAAACCUGGACAGAUGGGAUGGAACUAGAGGCUGGUGAAGUUGACAGGUCAACUGGGACAGGAUUUCCAAAAGAUGACAGGUCAACCACAAGAUCCAGACCUGGAGGUUCUUGCACAGGAGGAGGAGGAAGAAGAUCAUCCUCAUCCAAUGCCAUCUCGGUAGAGGCAGCAAAAUCAUCAAUAUUGACAUUUAUGGAUUCAAUGAUGGUUUUGGUCCUAUAGUUG
This 250-nucleotide long non-coding RNA is filed under the name Prunus persica (peach). RNAcentral describes it as "long non-coding RNA (PPER_LNC002985)". The record is from RNAcentral. Lineage: Eukaryota; Viridiplantae; Streptophyta; Magnoliopsida; Rosales; Rosaceae.